UCAUGCUUUAUUGCUUGCCCUUGGCCUGUGCAGCUUAUUCAGACAGGCAGAAGUGCCCUGUGCAGAGCACGAGCAAAGUGUUGGAUUUAAAUCCCUUUAGGCACGCCCUAUUAAUGCUCUUGUGUAUCACACUGUGAGCAGAUUCAUUCAUUCUCUAACAUUUGCUGAGCCCUAUCUAUGUCCUGGCCAUGGUGCUCAGCGCUGGGUACAGAAGGGGGAACAGAUGACACCCUGACUCCCGAAGCUCUGGAUUUGAUUUCGUAGCAUGAGGCAGACAAGCACAGCAACAAGAUCACAGCCAUCAACAGCUGCCUCAGAUGCCAGCUGUGCACACUGGAGACACAGAAUGAGAGAGACUCCUGGACAAACUGAGACCUGACAGGUGAACCAAGGUCCUGGUGGAGCAACUAUGUCUGAUGGAUGCAAACUUGCUACCUACAAAUCACGGAGCUAAGCAUCAACCUGAGUGGCUAAUGAUCAUCUUAAUUAACCCACAAGACUUUAUGCAUGGCUGGUAUUCAUCCAACCUUUUGAUCCUAGACAGGAAUCUAUUAAAGACCGUUGAGAGAAUGAAAAGACAAAAUCCAACUUCCAUAAGCAGAAUUGUUAAGAGGAAAGACAGAAGAAUGAUCUUUGAUCAGAGAGGCGAAUGCCAACACAGCAGCUUCUUACUCUAUUUAUUAGCUUGGGAUCUUUGCCAGAAGAUUUUUCUCUGUCAACCAUUUCCAGACUUGUAGGUUGUCAUUGCUAAGACUGGAAUGACAGAAGCCUCAGCCAUGAACCUGAAAUGGGAUGCAAAGAUAUUUUUUCCCCUCCCCUUCAGCAUGUUCCUCAGCAUCUGAUCAGGCAACACCCAGAAUGUGGUCCUGAAACAUCUAAAAAAGGCCUGGAUUCAGCUUCUCUUGAAUUCCAAAGGCCUGAUACGCCUGUGAUUUUUUUCCUUGGUGCCAAGUCAGCUCUGCUUAUCGACUGCUAUUUUAAUGAAACCUCCUGGUACCAGCUCAGGAAGGAUAUUUUUAUUAGAUACGACUGGGCGGAUUCUCAUGUUGAAAGCAUUUGGUGUAAAACAUGAACACAUUCAGUCCUCAGAUAUCCUUCCAAAUAUUUCCUUUGAAAUCGGAAAAUUACCAAGGAACUUGUGAUAAAAGAUGAAAAAAGGAAUUAAAAGGGUAAAAAAAAAAAGCCCACAAAGAUGACGUGCUUUGCUUCCUCUCUACACUUCUACAUGGGUGGGGCUAUGGAUAUCAGCAUUUGGAGAAAAGGAGACACCUGGAACUCAGCAAUCCCAGCCUUGCCUGUACACAUGGAGACCUAGAACCGGGGCUGGUUGCGCUCUUGAUGUCUCUUCUCCCAUGUCUUCUUCUAACUUCCCAUUAGGGCUGAAGUCAUGUGAUACAAGUAAGAACAGAACCUCCUGUUCUCAGGAUGACCUUGGCCUUGAAUUUCUAAUCUUCUUGCCUCCACUUCCCAAGUAUUGGGAAUAUGGGCAUCAGCUACCUCUCCUGGCACAAAAAGGUAUUUUAUAUGAUGGCAUUUUAAUUAUAGCUCUCACUCAACUCUACUUGCAGCUUAAACAAACAAAUGAACAAAUGAACACAGAAUGUUUCUUGAUGCUGGGUAUUGAAGCAAAGUCCUCAUAGACGCUAAUUUCAUGUUCAACUAUUAAAUUAUGCCCGUUUUCCCUCAUCAUUUACUGUUACUCCCCAUUGUCAAUGCAUUCAAACAUCACAUGAAACAUGCUCAUUAUUUUAUUUUGUGCUUUGAUCCUGUCAAGAAUAGUAUUAUCAUACUUCUACAAAAGGUCAUAAUCCUCAGGCUCAAAGCAUGAUCUGCUUGUCUCUUUCCCUCUGGCUAAGUUACUAUGAUGCCACUCAUGUUCUCUGUCUUCUCUCUUGUCUACAGGAACUGGGAAUGAAAAGCUUGAAGGAAUAUAACAUGACAUACAGCUGCCAGUGGGUGGAAUGUGCACAGAGGAAGCUCUAAGGGGAACUCUAGCACAUGCACGUCUCCGUGAUGCAUGCGGUGCCUGCAUCCAGGCUAUGCGCUACCAGAUGGUGAUCCACGCUUCUGUUGCCUGGCCCUUAAAAUCACAGCUACCUUUUGGCCAAUCCUGGAGGAAGUGAACUGCCAUUAAAGGUCACUCCCAGGAUAUCUCCUUCACAUCCUCCGAAUUAACCUCUCAAUAGUAGACUGAGGCUGUGAUUUUUUUUUAAAGCCAGGACUGCUUUCUGGCUACGGUUUUAGCCACGUGUCUAUCAAUCUCAAAGGGGUUUUGCUGUCUUCAUGGCAAACAAAGACCUAGUCAGCCUUGCCACUUACUUUGUGAUGCUUUGUGCAAAAGAAGGCCAUCUUUGAGGCUUCUCAAGAUUUCUCCCAGGACUCCUAAGAAUCCUUUUGCAAAGGAUACCUGCAAACCUUCCUGGACAUGCAAGGAGUCAAGUGAUGCGUAUGCAAAUGAGACUCCCUUGUGACUCUGAAUCACUAUACCACUGAGGAGCUUUUCUUCACAGUAAUCAACAUCUCAUCUUAAUUGCUUUUGUUUAUGUUCAAUAAGUGCAUCAUUUUGGCAACACCAGCUCACAGCAAUAUCUUAAAUUACCCAAGGCUGCCCACUUUCAUUUAUGGACUCUGCCUUGUGUCUGAUGAGCACUUAGAUUUUUUAACUAUUUAUUUCCUCUGCCUGACAGGGAAUGAAGAAUAUACAGCUUAUGGGAAAAAUUAAGUAGGAGGAGCAGUGAGGACUAGGGAACCAUAACAGAAGUGUACAGUAUGCAAGGCCAAUACAAAAGCAGUGAGUUUUUAAUAAUCCGAGUGUGCAAUACAUAUGUAUCCCUCAUAAAAUCAAUUGUUGAUUAUUGUCGAAUCUGCUAUUUCUCAGUUUUCCACCUCAUAUAAGACCAGAAAAAAAAUCCUGGAGGAAUUAAGAAAAAUGAAAAUGCUCCAAUAAUGGCAAAUUCAGUUAUGGUUAAAAAAAAUAAAGUUGUCUACUAAGUUGAUGUUUAACACAUAGCCCCUUCCAGGAACUGAGUUGAGGGUGUUGGAUGCACUGAUUACUAGGAGUAUAAUCUGAGAUAAAACUGCAUUUUUUGCCCUUGAUUUGAGUAAUUAUCUUGCUUUAAAAUAAAUUCCAGUUGUCAUUAUGCAGGCAGAGGAAAGUCAGAAAAUGGAGGGCCACUGGGGAAUCUGUGGGCAUCACUGGAGCUGUGCUAUUCAUCAUCUCCAUGAAGCCGCUCAUGUUACUAUAAUAAUCCAUGCCUUGAUUUCCCAGUCUGUCCCCCCUCCGACUGACUACUUACCAUCUUAUUGCCUUUAUCAUUAUGGUACAGGGUUAGGUGGCUGAACCCAGUGUUACCAGGUUCUUGGCCUCUUAUUCAAGAGUGAAGCGGAAGCUCACCCAGAUUGUAAAGCUGUCUGUCUGAGGAAAUUUUAUUUAAAGUUGAGCAAUAGAAAAGAUCAGAAGACACUGCCAGGGAGCAGUGGGGCACCAGAGCGAAGCUACUCAAGAGCUCUCAGGCUUCGCCUCAGGCUUCUUGCUAUAAUGUCUAAAGGAAGAAGGGGUUGGUUACCAAGGGAAUUUAUUUUGGGUCACAUAAUCAUUUUUAUACUUUGCAUAUCCCUUUCUGUAAUGCAUAUUGUAUCAUAUUAUGCCCAAUUCUGUAUAGGCAGUAGGAGGUAAAUAGGGAAGUCUCCUUAAAAGCUCACUUCAAGACACAGUUUUACCUAAUUGAUUAUGAACCCCAAAAGGAUUCAGAAUGCAUUGGUUUCCUAUCUUCCCUACAAGGCACAAGCAGUGUAUGAUUGGGCAGAUUCUAAGUUUGCUAGUUGUUAACCAGAGAAGAAAUGUACUUCACAGAAAUGUAUCUCAUUGUGUGGCUUGGUGCAGGUGGGAGUCUUAGAUUAGCUAAGACUUGGUUCAGAGGGAACGGUGAAAAGCUUAAGGCAAGUGGAGUCUCAGUUUGUUAAAAUGUUUCUUUUGCUUGCCUGUCUCAGUUACAUUUAAUUAUGGGAGAAUAUUAGCUAGCAGUUGGUAAGUAAUAAAAUCACAAGUGUGGUUUCAAACAACUUGCCUUUGUAAUAGAAGUUUCUAUGAUAAAAAAAAAUCUGUGUAAACAUAGCAACUGAAUCCUCUCUUUCAGGGACACAGAGGGAUAAAUCAAGGUAUUCAAUGGGAUUAUGUCUCAUCUGAGGUGGGACCAGGGAAGGAUAUGCACCCAAGCUUCCAAGCUUCUCUGGUAACUGGCAGAAUUUCAUUCCCUGUAGUUUGCUUAUCUGAGGAUUUUAUGUUCUGGCUGAGUGGGAGGCAUUGUUAGUUCCUACACAGUUUCUGGGCAGAGACUGCUUCAGUUCUGUGGGAUGUGGACCUUCUUGCUUUAACCAAUGUGUUCAUUAAGGCAGGUAAAAGAAAGAGAGAGAAUGUUGAGAGGGAAACACACUGGUUCGGGAAUUGUUUAUUUGUUGUUUUUUCUUUUUGUUUCAGCCAAAAGUAGUACAAGCCAUCAACUACCAUGAAACUCUCCCUUCAGUUCACGCUCAGUUUCUUUUGAAGUCUUGGUUGGUUAAUCCAUUUCAUGGGUGUGAGUCAUUGCCAUGCAGGUAGCAUGACGCAUGGCAAUUCUUUCCUUCCUUGUUUCUGAGGCAAAGAACACUGAAUCAAGGCAUCUCCGGGGCCAUGUCUUCUCUGGGGCUGGAGAGAAGGGCUCUUCUUUGCCUCUUCCUGGUUUUCUUGACUCUCCUAACCCUUAACUUGAGGCUGUCACUGCAGCCUCUGCUGCAAAUGCCAAGCAGAAUUUCCCUUGCUUUUGUCUAUGUUUACCCUUCUCCUUAUAUAGACAUAAAUCAUCAAGUUUGGGAUCCACCUAAUCCCAUAUGGUCUCAUUUUAAAAUGACUACAUCGGCAAAGAGUGUUUCCACAUAGAGAAUUUGGGAUAGACGUGGCAUAUUUGUGGACACUGUUCAUCCCACUAUUGCUGUGACUUUUCCCUUUGGCCUUUGCUACCUUACUCUAAAUGAAACAUGCAAACCACACUUUUUAACUCCCCACUGUGAAUGAUAAAGCUUCUUAAAAGGCAGCCAGGGAAGUGGUCCAGAAUCAGCACCUUCAGUAGUCAAAGAACCAGGGCUGAUAUUUGGUGUCCUUUUGCUGCAAGUUCCUCAUCUAUAAAAUGUUAAUAAUAAUGAUGAUGUUACUUAGCAUUUGGUAUUGUUAGAGGACUAAGUGACAUAUGUAGUAUGCAGAAUUAUAAGAACAAUUUCUGGUCCAUAGAAAACACUCCAAAGAGUCAUAAUCCAGCUCUCCUUUUAUCCCCCCCCCCAACUAGCUUAUUAGUUAUUAGUAAAUAUUAUUAGUAAAUGUUGUGUUUAGUGCUUGUUUUUCAAAUUAUACUUAAAGUCAUUGAUUAAUAAUUUUGACUAUACUCACAACCAAUUAUGAAGGUAAAACAGAAACAAAUGUCUAUAAUGGGAUACAUUCAUAUAUUUAUAGUUUAUGAUAAUUAAAUAACAAAUUAAAAUUGAUUGCAAUUAUGUGUUAAAUGAUUUAGAGCAUAGAGGUAUGUGAGAAGUCUUUAUUGCUUAAUAUACUUAUAUAGUGUUUGAAUAAUUCUUUCUUCUAUGAAUAAAUAAGUAACUUCAUAUACUUUUGCUUAUCUAUCUCUAGGUGUUUCAGCUGUGCUAUUUCUCUUUUCCUCCUUGGUCUCUGUAUUUACUUUAUGUGACUUAGUCAUCUUUAUUUUGUUGAGUGACUAACUUUAAGCACAGUAUUUGCAUGGGAAAUCACCUAUUAUCUGUGCACUUUAUUAUCACAACACUCAUGUUACCAUUUCAUAUUUGAGUUCUUAUCCUCAGCAGGAUUGUAUUAUUGACACGUGGCGUGCAUCAGUUCAUUUAAUCUCCGUGACAUGUAUGACAUUUCACUGAUGAGAUAACAGGAGGUACAGAGUGCCAAAGUAAUUUGUGCAAGGCCGCAGAGCUUCUCCAUGGCACAUGUGGUGUUUGAGAAGUUUCUGGCAUCAGAAUUUCUUGUUAGAGCCAGUUCAUUCUGUGGCUUCUUAGUGUCCAUAAACUCAAGGCAGAUUGCCAUACUCUACAUGGAUCCAGUGAUUGACAUAGCUGGGGCAUGGAGGGAAUGAAGGAAGGACAGUCACAUGAGUACAGACACAGAAUAACUAGGAUUGGGGACUGGGGUCUCUCCGAUGAAGAAGCCACAAUAUGACAGGGCGAGACAGUGCAGAGAUCUCUCCCUCUUGUAUUCUUGCUGAGGUCAUCUUAACUCCAGUUUGAUCUCCUUGAUGGGAAGCCCCAUGGAAAAUUACUCAACUCUAUUCUAGGAGUCCAAGGUCACAAUGCCCUGCUAUUUUCUGUUAAAUUGCCUGCCUGUGCAAACCUCCCUCUCUAGCUAACUGCUUAUCUUAAUGUCUGUUAAACUGCUUGCUUGAGCAAAACAUUGCUCUGAAGUUGCAGAGUGAGAAUUCUGGAUGUGGUUUUUGUCUUUAAAAACCCCUUACCCUAAACACCUAGUACUAUCCUUGAGACCAGAAUACCUAGGAGGUGCUGGAAUAAAGACUUUCUACUGGCUAUAAACUGUGUGGUACUCUCUGGUGGAUUCCCCAAAACAACAGCACCUCCGAAGUUCUGUGGGUUUAUUAUAUACCAUAGAAUUGGGGUUUUUGGGCAAAGCUGAACAAGGAGGCAGAAUUUAUGGUGUACAGAGCAUAGAGAAGGAAGGUUUAGCUAAUCACCGUAGGAGAGGUUUCUGUAGGGAGAAGUCUUCAGGCAUAAAUAUCUGAGCAGGGGAAGAGGAGAGAGAAAACUAUGGUAGACAUUUUCUGCCCAUACUGCCAGCUUUCACACUUAGACCAGAGGAAGCAUUGUUACCUCUCUGAGCCUCAGCCAGAGAAGGCUUUGCCAGUCCUAUACCAUUGAGGUAUUGGGGGUCUUGACAUUGCUGCCUGUGUCAACAUCAUAUAUUCACUCAAGACUGUACUUGCUCUCUACACAGAAUCUCGUUGCAUGUGACUAAAGGCACAUAGACUCUGUAUAUCUACUGAGUCACAGAUUUGGUGUCUCUGAAUACAUGCCACCCAAAAGAACAACAGCAAAAAAUCAUUAACGCAAAGAAGUGCUCCCUUUGUUUAUAGCCAACCAGUACUCCUUCCAUGUGUCUAUCCAACUCAGGCCUUUUCAGGCAUUGUGUUUUACCAGGGGCCCCUUUAAUAUUUCUCAUUCAUAGAGAAAAUGAAACCAUGCCUCUGUCUUCCCAUUAAGAAGUUGCAGUGCCUUCUUUACACAGAUCCGAUGACAGAAGUUCUUCUCCUGUCGAAGAGGUUAUUUCUGACACCUCUCGACUUCCUGUCCCCAUUUGGACUGAUUGCUUCCCUGGCACAUGCUUGUCACCCUGAGAUCUUACUUGAUUGCCCUUCUGGGUUUACCUUCCAUUUUCCCUUCACUUUGCUGAACUCCUUUUCUAUUUUCCUUGGAUUUCUUUUUCAUUUGGCUCAAGUAUAUUUUCCGUUUUAUUAUUGUUUUGCAGAAAGCACUCUCGGCUGAAACACGAUGUUCUUAUAUGUAUGCUGGUAAGGUGUAUAAUUGAAAUAUGCUUUCCAUCAAAAAGUAGAAAUUGAUGUGAAUCUGAUUAUUGGCCCAUUGAAGAUAACACCUUUCUGUCUCCCUAAGCUUUGAGGAUUUCCUCACAGGCUGUGCUAUUUUGGACUGUUGCCAGAUGUCAUUGAGCGUUGUUCAUCCUCUAUGACACUUGGAGUGAAUCUGUCAUUCUGCAACAACCGGAGUUUUAUUUCUAAAACAUAAAUCCCCAGGCCCCAUCUUCAUCUAGGGCAGAAUCUCGAUAUUCUUCCACCAUCUCUGAAUGUACUGUUAGUCGACACUGUCCCAUAGAUGAUGCUAGCUAAAACAGGGAUCUGGGUAUUUUUUAUUUAGUCCGUCUUAAUGUGGUGUAGUGUCCCCGUUAGUAAAACUGUCACGCGGACCUAUGCUCAUCUAGGUUUCAAUCCCUUCAGCAGAAGAAUGGCAUGGAAUGUAAAGGAAAGACACCCCUCCGGAGCUCCUGGUUUUCUUAUUGUCACGAGCAAUCUUAUUUGUAAGAACUGGCUUGGGACAUCCACCUGUUGGAAGAAGUUAAUCCGUCAAGCUGCUGCAACUCUGGCAAGGCUCAGUGACCUUCAACAGACCAAGUCACUUGCUGUGACAGAGUGGAGGAAAUGUUUGUCCUUGGCUUCCAUUUUGGCUGAAUCUUUUUGUCAUAUUACCUGUUUCUUGGUCCCUGAAGGUAGAUGUCUGUCCGAAAUAAAGUCAUCUGUUUUAAUUUCUCCGGC
This 8327-nucleotide small RNA is filed under the name Rattus norvegicus (Norway rat). RNAcentral describes it as "uncharacterized LOC102556364". The record is from RNAcentral. Lineage: Eukaryota; Metazoa; Chordata; Mammalia; Rodentia; Muridae.